Molecule: ribosomal RNA, 407 nt
Filed under: uncultured bacterium
Lineage: Bacteria
Description: partial 16S ribosomal RNA
Rfam family: Bacterial small subunit ribosomal RNA
Source: RNAcentral
AUUGAACGCUGGCGGCAGGCCUAACACAUGCAAGUCGAGCGGAACGGCGGACGAGGGCGUAAUGCCUAGGAAUCUGCCUGGUCGUGGGGGAUAACGUCCGGCAACGGGCGCUAAUACCGCAUCCUAUCAGCUGAGCCUGGGUCGGAUUAGCUAGUUGGUGGGGUAAAGGCCUACCAGGGCGACGAUCCGUACCUGGUCUGAGAGGAUGAUCAGUAAAACUGGAACGGAGAAACGGUCCAGACUCCUACGGGAGGAAGCAGUGGGGAAUAUUGGACAAUGGGCGAAAGCCUGAUCCAGCCAUGCCGCGUGUGUGAAGAAGGUCUUCGGAUUGUAAAGCACUUUAAGUUGGGAGGCGUUACCAACAGAAGAAGCACCGGCUAACUUCGUGCCAGCAGCCGCGGUAAUUC